UCCAACUUAUCGCUGGCGGUCUCCUGCGAGUUCCCAACUGAAUGAUGGCAACACAGGACAAGGGUUGCGCUCGUUGCGGGACUUAACCCAACAUCUCACGACACGAGCUGACGACAGCCAUGCACCACCUGUGCACCAGUCCCGAAGGAGGACCGUAUUUCUACGGCUUUCUAGUGCAUGUCAAGCCCUGGUAAGGUUCUUCGCGUCGCAUCGAAUUAAACAACAUGCUCCGCUGCUUGUGCGGGCCCCCGUCAAUUCCCUUGAGUUUUAGCCUUGCGGCCGUACUCCCCAGGCGGAUAACUUAAUGCGUUAGCUGCGCCACCGAAAGCCCAUGGCCCCCGACAGCUAGUUAUCAUCGUUUACGGCGUGGACUAC
Molecule: unclassified non-coding RNA, 375 nt
Filed under: uncultured bacterium
Lineage: Bacteria
Description: contains 16S-23S intergenic spacer region
Source: RNAcentral